AUUGAACGCUGGCGGCAGGCCUAACACAUGCAAGUCGAGCGGAUGAAGGGAGCUUGCUCCUGGAUUCAGCGGCGGACGGGUGAGUAAUGCCUAGGAAUCUGCCUGGUAGUGGGGGAUAACGUCCGUAAACGGGCGCUAAUACCGCAUACGUCCUGAGGGAGAAAGUGGGGGAUCUUCGGACCUCACGCUAUCAGAUGAGCCUAGGUCGGAUUAGCUAGUUGGUGGGGUAAAGGCCUACCAAGGCGACGAUCCGUAACUGGUCUGAGAGGAUGAUCAGUCACACUGGAACUGAGACACGGUACAGACGACUACGGGAGGCAGCAGUGGGGAAUAUUGGACAAUGGGAGAAAGCAUGAUAAAGCAAUGCCGCGUGUGUGAAGAAGGUCUUCGGAUUGUAAAGCACUUUAAGUUGGGAGGAAGGGAAGUAAGUUAAUACCUUGCUGUUUUGACGUUACCAACAGAAUAAGCACCGGCUAACUUCGUG
This 484-nucleotide ribosomal RNA is filed under the name uncultured bacterium. Its description in RNAcentral is "partial 16S ribosomal RNA". It matches the Rfam family "Bacterial small subunit ribosomal RNA", at positions 30 to 507 of the family's 1533-position model. The record is from RNAcentral.